This is a long non-coding RNA of Cygnus atratus (black swan), 3542 nucleotides long. RefSeq lists it as uncharacterized. The transcript is spliced from 2 exons. The record is from RefSeq and is a predicted model, not a curated record. Lineage: Eukaryota; Metazoa; Chordata; Aves; Anseriformes; Anatidae.
GCCAGCAGCCGACCUCGGGACUCGCCAACUUCCUACCCCUGCCCCCCCAGCCGAGGAACUUUGUUAAAUAGAGCGGGGGGGGAAGAAGUGAGCUGUAACUCUUACUUUAAAACGGCUGGGCUACCAAAGGUGAAAAUACACACACACGAGUACAAGGAAUUUCCUUCUCAGCUAUCAAGAAACUGGAACUGAAACUAUGCAACGGAGCAGCGAGGCUGACAGCCUUGUUCCACACAGUAACAAUGCAGGAGCAGAGGCGGCGUGGUUUGCUUUCCCUCGUUCAACAGCAGGUUCAGAACACUAGAUGUUUUGGUAGCCCAUGACCAUGAAAUUCCACUAGCAUGUCGCUUUUUAUGGUCCUGUGCUAACAGCUUAAAACCAGAAUUAAUUUAUCCCCUUUUUCUUCAGCUAAUGAAUUGACAUUUCAUUCAACCUACCCAUCUGCAAUGCAUGUACAGCUUGAUGCCACCCACGCCCUGCAUCCACUCACUUUCCAGACCUGAAUAUUAGAUGAACCUUGCAGAAAGAACAAACAGUUCCUACCACAUAAUGGGGGAGUACAAAAAUCUACAGGAGAACUGACAGGCAACAAACAACAUCACAAAAUUCCUGCAUGUCAGUAAGUAAUUACUUCGAUGUUACUUUUCACUCCCACUCUUCACUCUUGAAUGAGAUGUCAAGGCAAUAAAUACUACUUAGAUAAAUGAUUACAGAAUGAGUACUGCUAUGGAUUAAGAAACUACUGAAGGUCAAGACACCAGAAUAAAAAUUCAGUAUCUGAGACCCAUGAAUGCUGUAUGAAACACAAAUCCCCACAACUUUUUGGUCAUUAAAGAGUUGUGAUUGCUUCUGAUCUGAAUGGCCAAAUGCAAAGUGACUCCUUUCCUUUUUUACUGCAAGGAUUAUUUACAAGGGUCUCUACAGUUUUCAAAACAGUACUUCUUUAUUUCCUAAGAAAGCAGAUAUGGACUUUACUUUGUUAUACAUGAAAAUGAAGAGCAUGUACAUGUCUAUCCCCAACAGAAACCUACACUGUCACAAAACUCUCAGAAACAGAACAUAUCCUAUUGCUACUAUUUUAGUAAGCAGUAAAUUCAGUAGUAUUUAGUAGUUAGGCUUAGAUCACUCAAACACUCAAAAAAAUAAAAAAGUUGCUAAAUCCUGUAAGGAUAUCCACUAUUAUUCUUACUUCCUUUCUCCCUUUUCUCCUGUUAUCUUCUUUCUCCUUCCAAUAUUCAUGCUGUAUUUCUCCUCCAAAUCUUCUUUUCCCUAUUUUUUCUUCUCUUGGUUCUCCCUACCAUUCCCCUUCUUGUUUCUGCUUGAACUUUCAGUAUUUCUUUCCCUUAUCUCUCUGCCUCCUCUUGGUUCCGUUCUCCCUGCAUUUGGUGUCUAUAAGGCAGCAGAAGUGCUCAUCACAUGUAAAGGCUAGUAAGGAAAAUGGGAAAAUAAUUAAUUUCUGAGAGGAAUCACAUUUAUUAACAUCACAUACACAUAUAUGACAACUAAGAAUCACACCUUAUUUCUACAGCCACAGAAGAGUCUGUAUUUGUUUCAUACCAUUUGCUUCAUUUAGCAGCCACUAUAGGAAUUCUUAAGAUUGCAGAUCUGUCAUUUGAUAAUCCUUCACUUACCCUCUCAAACAUCAGCAAGGUAGAACUUCAAAAUUACACGUGUGCUAUACAGUAUCGUAUGCUAGUCAGUUAUGAAGUAUUCAGUUAAAAAUGAAUUCUAUUCUUAUUAUUUAUCACAUACAAGCUGUAAGUUCUCUACUUGUGUCUGUGUGUAUAAUACAGAAGAACAUAGUUUUAAGACAAACUAUCAUUAAAGAGAGAAGCAAUAUGGAAUUAGUGUAUAGAAAGAACCAGUUUAACAGACCCUUUCUUACAAAUUAGAAACUGAAAGGAAGAAUUGACCUUUCCCAUCACCACUAUGAUGUGUUUAUUUCCAGAUCUAUAACACCAUGAAAUUUGAUUUAAUACUUUUUACAUUAAUGCUUAUAGAGAACAAGCUUCUAGAGAAUGUCUGGAUUUUGAAAAAGUUGAUUUACUAUCAUUUUUCCUCUUAUGCUUAUGCCUUAUAAUUACAUAAAAUUAUAGUAACAAGUAAUACACGUACCCAUAAUUUCAGACACAAUUUUGGGUUACAUUUCCCAAUUCAAAGCUAUUAAAAUGUUUCCAUAUACUUUAAUUAACAAAGACACUAUAGCUUAUGAAGGGGGAAGAGAAAAGUAUGGUGUGCAUAGGCUUGGAAUACAGCCAAAGUAUUUUUCUGAUUUGUGCAAAAAAUUAUCACAACUGUGAAUUCACUUUCUAUAGUUAACAUGUAAAUAAAACAAAAUACAAAAUUAAAAAAGACACCACCUUAAGAUUUAAUUGCAAUGAUAUAAAACGUACUUUAUAUACAUUAUACAAAAUUAUAUAUUAAUAUAAAUAAAUACAUAUAGUAAUCUUAAUGUUUUGUAUGGAUGGCUAAAGAAAGAUUGUAAGGUAAAGCCUAUUCAGUGUGUUUCUCUUCCUGGUACAUUCUAAAAAUCUUCAUCAACCAGCAGUUUAGGAAACCAAGUCUCAGAAAGAAACUGAACCUACAUCACAUAACAAGGAAAAAGGUUCCUGUGUGCUUACAAGACUUAGUUAUCUCUUCUGCCAAAUAAAAGUGAUUUUUAUUUUCAAUUAUAGAAGCUACCUGAAAACUAUUUUGAUUUUUUUUUUCCUGAAUAUAAGAAGACUGUUUAAAAAAAAAUAACAUAUUAAAAACAAUGUCAAGCCAACAUCCAGAAGUACAGCAUAAUAUUGAGGGAUAAAAAAGUCACUGCUAUCAGAGUAAGUUUAGUGGCCAUGGCUACCGUAGUUAGUAACAACACACUACUGCUAGCUACCUUUUAGACCUGGUCUAUGCUGAAAAACAUUGCUGGUAAAGUGAUAUAUAAAAAGCACACCUGCUUUUUGCUCAAAUAAAAUGCAGGUGCACUAGCAAAUAAACCUUUUUGCCAUAUUUUUGCUCAAGGAACUAGCAUACAUAUGGUGUAAUUACACUAGAAAUCAAGGAAGGCACACCAAAGCCUUGAAUUUUAUUUUUUCUGCAUAGGAGACUAUAAUAUAGUAUUAAAAGUUUGCAAUUAGCCUAUUUAAGUAGGGAAGAGAAUGCCAUAGAUUUAUCCUCAACGAAUUUCAAUACAACACAUCCAGGUUUUACUGUUAUAUAGCAAGCAGGUCAACUGAACUCUUCAUGUAAAGCAUCUACUCCACUAGAGAAAAAAAAAAUUACAAUUUGCACUCCUACCUUUUCCAGAAGGAUGAGGGCAACUUGAAAAAAGAAAUCAGUUGAAGACAACAUACCCUUUUCCAUAAGCAAAAGCGACGUGUGUGAGGAGUGGUAAACCUAAUUUAAUUUGGUCUUAACAGGCAAUGGUUGCUACGUUUUGGUUCAAAUGUGAACAGUGUACUUUUACAACUAUGCCUGGUGCCACACGUGAAAUAUGCUUCAGCUUCUACAGAGCAUCUGCCACAAUCCCCCCCCCGUUUUUUUUUUUUUUUUUUUUAAAA